This is a long non-coding RNA of Siniperca chuatsi (mandarin fish), 301 nucleotides long. RefSeq lists it as uncharacterized. The record is from RefSeq and is a predicted model, not a curated record. Lineage: Eukaryota; Metazoa; Chordata; Actinopteri; Centrarchiformes; Sinipercidae. The transcript has 5 exons.
UCCCGAAAAACAGACAUGACCAGGGCAGUGAGGAUCGGGACUCAGAUAUAGAGGAUGGAGGUUCUGAACCCCGUGUGGAUUGGAGUUCAGAUAUAGAUGAUGAAAGCCCAGGACCAAACCUGGCUAAAAGACAGAAGAAAAGAAGAAAAAGAAGAAGGCGGUGGUGAAAGAAAGAGAUGGAGAGGCUGACCACCUCUCCCCAAAAGACUCUUGAGCACUGCAGUGGGGAUGGGACUUCAGAUAUGGAUGAUCAAAGCCCAGGACUAAACCUGGCUAAAAGACAGAAGAAAAGAAGAAAAAA